Molecule: non-coding RNA, 29 nt
Filed under: Homo sapiens (human)
Lineage: Eukaryota; Metazoa; Chordata; Mammalia; Primates; Hominidae
Source: RNAcentral
UGGGAACCAGAACACACUGAUGGAGGAGU